ACCCUUAAAAUGACCUAGGUUUUGCAUGUCCAAAUGCACGCAUGGAAGCUUGCACCAAUUGACAUGCAUGAACUAGCUAGCUUGGCAAAUAAAUAUGAAAACCGGCUUCAAAACAAAGAUCUAAGUUGAUUGCAUUGCAAGGUAACUUCAAAAGAUCGAUAAAUGCAUCAUGCUGAUCAAAAUUGCAUGUCACAUGAUUCAAAUUUGGAUGGUUAAUCCAUUAUAGAUGAAACAGUGAUUUACAAUGAACACCAACAGCAAUAGACCACCUCUAACAGCUUGUUCGCCAAUUCACCAACUCAUUGACAUAAUGAAUAUUCUGACAGCACUCGCAAUCUAACAAGAUUUUCAUUUCAGUUUUCAUUUUUGUGCUUUUUUUGUGUGGUGUUCACAGACGUGUAUGCCACUACGCAUGUAUGUGAAUUUACAUGCAUGCAUGUGAGAGGGUAGAAACAGAAUGGCAGCUUUUAAGCAGCUAACAUGUGGAAGAUCCACAAAAUUUACUUUUAGGCUACCCUCCCUUGAUAAUUCAAAACAAAUGUGAAAGUAGUCAACAUCACUAGAAUGACAUCAAUAGUAUUAUGAACUCUCAAGUGUUCUCAGGUGUCCUACUGAUGCCAAAUCAUCCAUCAUCACAUGCUUACCUUCGGACCAGUCUAUAAGUUAUAGCAAGUUCACAUUUUAUCUCCCAACAUGCUAGACUGGUCAUGUUAAUGGAUCAACAUUGGAAACCACAUAGAUUUCAUUCCAAUCCC
This 755-nucleotide long non-coding RNA is filed under the name Elaeis guineensis (African oil palm). RNAcentral's name for it is "long non-coding RNA (EGUI_LNC023434)". Lineage: Eukaryota; Viridiplantae; Streptophyta; Magnoliopsida; Arecales; Arecaceae. The record is from RNAcentral.